This 106-nucleotide small nuclear RNA is filed under the name Castor canadensis (American beaver). Lineage: Eukaryota; Metazoa; Chordata; Mammalia; Rodentia; Castoridae. The record is from RNAcentral.
GCACUAGCUUUGACAACACAUACACUAAAAUUAGAAUGAUACAGAGAUGACUAGCAUACACCUGCACCAAGGAUGACAGGAAGCUUGUGAAGCGUUCCAUAUUUAU